This 1455-nucleotide long non-coding RNA is filed under the name Sorghum bicolor (sorghum). RNAcentral's name for it is "long non-coding RNA (SBIC_LNC003486)". Lineage: Eukaryota; Viridiplantae; Streptophyta; Magnoliopsida; Poales; Poaceae. The record is from RNAcentral.
CAGUGGUAUUCUCUGGUUAUUUAUAGUAUGUUUUCAGGUGAUGUUGCAGUAAGAUAGGGUUUCAGCGAGCUCUCGGGUUCAGAUCUCGUCAUUGUUGCAAUGUUUCUCUCUAGACGUUGCAGUAGGUCUUAGUCGUUGUUGCAGUACUAUGUUUUGAGGUGUGUUUCAGUUGCUCCAAUCUGUAUGUUGUAGUAGUUUGUUUCAUGUUUUAUAGUAGUUGUUCAGUGUUGUUGUAGUACUAUAUCUAUGGUGUUUCAGUUACUCCAUCCAAUGCUUCAAUCUGCAUUGUUGUAUUAGUUGUUGCAUGUUGUUGCAACAGUUAUUCGGUGUUGUUGUAAUACUAUGUCGAUGUUUCGGUUUCUCUAUCCAAUGCUUCAAUCUAUAUUGUUGUAUUAGUUGUUACAUGUUGUUGCAGCAGCCGUUCGUUAUUGUUUGUAAUACUAUAUUCAUGGUGUUUCAGUUGCUCCAUUUAAUACUUCAAUCUGUAUGUUGUAGUUGUUGUGUUGCAUGCUGUUGCAGUAGUUAUUCGGUGUUUGUUGUAAUAAUAUGUUUAUGGUGUUUUAGCUACUUCAUCAUAUUUGUUGUAGCAGUAUGUCUAGUGUUGUUGCACUAUCAUGUGUAUUCUGUUGCAGCGUUAAGUGUAUGAGGGCAGGAUGUGAGGACGAGUUAGCGACAGAUAGAUCUGCUAGGGGCAGGCAAGGCAAGGGGCGAGGCAGAUCCUAUGCUCGUUGGGGUGGGGACAGGCUACUUAUGCGGGGAGCGGACAAAGGGCGGUCCUCCGUGUGGGGUGAGUGUGGCAUGGGACGAGUUGGUUGGGAAGGAGUGGACAAAGGGUGGUCUUCCGCGUGGGUCGAGUAGGGCAGGGGCGAGUUGGUUAGAGACAAAUAUGGUUUCCUUUUUUUUCUUUUUCUCCGUGUGGCGUGGGUGGGGGUUCGGCGUUCGGAUGUGUUGCUGGUGCCGGACGUCCGGGCACUAGUAGUAUCGUAUAUUUUUUGCAGUAUUAUAUGUUUUUUGGUGAAUUGUAACUCCGAAGUAGGUGUUAAUCCCAAAUUUUGAUAAGACAGGAUUUGCAUGUGGGUCCAUCUUGUGGAAGGAAGGAGUAACGGAUUAACUAAAUAGAAGCUUGGAUGAAGAUAGUCAAUCAAGGCGUAUUGAGUUUAGGCUGGACGCGAGGAAACGUAACGGGUCUUGUUGCGAGAAGGAAUUGGAGUCCAAGUUACCUUCUUUGAGUAGUCGUGUAAUAAUAGGACAUGAUUCGUUUUUCAGGCUAUAAAUAUUAGAGACCCGAUCCUAUAAAAAUAUACACAAUUCAAUAUAAGAAAAUUUUGGCUCAGGCCACACCUUAGGAGUAGGAGUAAGAGUAGAUUUCGACAAGAUCUUCGACAAAUUGAAAUGCAUCGGUUGAUUUCAACCUUUAGUUUUCUUGUAAGUAUUGUCACAGUUCAUAUCGGGUUU